RNAcentral lists this small RNA (125 nucleotides) under Marmota monax (woodchuck). The record is from RNAcentral. Lineage: Eukaryota; Metazoa; Chordata; Mammalia; Rodentia; Sciuridae.
GCUGGGCAUGGUGGCAUAUGCCUGUAAUCCCAGUGACUUAGGAGGCUGAGACGGGAGGAUUUCGAAUUCAAAGCCAGCCUCAGCAAUGGCGAAGUACUAAGCAACUCAGUGAGAUCCUGUCUCUA